RNAcentral lists this unclassified non-coding RNA (914 nucleotides) under Hevea brasiliensis (rubber tree). The record is from RNAcentral. Lineage: Eukaryota; Viridiplantae; Streptophyta; Magnoliopsida; Malpighiales; Euphorbiaceae.
AAGAUAAUUUUAUUUAUAAAAUUGUAAAAAAUUUAAAGUUCAAUGACUUUAUAAAAACACUCAGUUGACUGCAUUUGAUAUUUACCCUGUUUGUCUUUUCAUUGGGUGGGAGGGGUGAAUUAAAUAUUCUUUUUUUUUUAAUUUUAUUUUAGUUUUCAAAAUGUUCAAGAUUAGAAAAUAGAGACCUUUUUUUUGUAUUUCUUCUCUUGUGAUGGAAAGCUGUUGAGAGGAUCAAGCUAAAUGAAGGUAGUGAUUUGUUACUACUGUUAAAGAAAACAGAAAAAUGUGUGUUCUUCCUUUCUUCCAUUCCUUUUAUUUGCUUACGACACUUGAAUGGGAUACUUUAUGGGGAGAUUUUUUUUUUUUACUGCAGACAAUCUCUGUAAGAGAACAAAGAAAGCAACACAUAAGUAUGGUGUAUAUAUGUUCUUUGCAUAAGUAAUGCAAAAUGGUGCAAUGCUUGUCUUUGCAAUGUGUAUGGACUAGCUCAGUCAGUUGUGUAAGUAUUUUUGGUAAUGGCUGAAUCAGUUGAGAAUCAGUUGGGAGGGGGGGAAUCUUGCUCUAAGGGGAAGGAAAACUUCUCCUGCUCCUAACAGUGGCUUGCUUAGGACUCUUUGAUUUCUGGUGAUGUGUUUACAUUUUUCCAUUGUUCAUACUUCUAUAUGCUUUAUUCACACUCUUUUCUUACAAAUAAUUUGCCUUUAUGUAUUUAGGAUUUUGGAUUGAUGAUCCCAAAAGUAGGAUAUUUUGUGAUUGUUUCUUUGGAUAUUAAAGCAAAAUUUCCAGAAUCAUCCGAAUACAUUUUAGUAGUUACUGAAUGGUUUAGUAUCUGAUGAUGAUAAUAUCAAGAAAUCCUACUUGCUAACUGUUUUUUGUGUUGGUCAUGAACAGAUGAUGACUUCAGGGAGUUUGUG